CGACUCUACUGGGGAUCGAACCCAGAAUCUUUGCUUUCGUAGAACAACGCCUUAGAACACUCUAUCAAAUC
Molecule: transfer RNA, 71 nt
Filed under: Cryptomeria japonica (Japanese cedar)
Lineage: Eukaryota; Viridiplantae; Streptophyta; Pinopsida; Cupressales; Cupressaceae
Description: tRNA-Ser
Source: RNAcentral